AGUGAACGCUGGCGGUAGGCCUAACACAUGCAAGUCGAACGGCAGCACAGUAAGAGCUUGCUCUUACGGGUGGCGAGUGGCGGACGGGUGAGGAAUACAUCGGAAUCUACUUUUUCGUGGGGGAUAACGUAGGGAAACUUACGCUAAUACCGCAUACGACCUACGGGUGAAAGCAGGGGAUCUUCGGACCUUGCGCGAUUGAAUGAGCCGAUGUCGGAUUAGCUAGUUGGCGGGGUAAAGGCCCACCAAGGCGACGAUCCGUAGCUGGUCUGAGAGGAUGAUCAGCCACACUGGAACUGAGACACGGUCCAGACUCCUAGGGAGGCAGCAGUGGGGAAUAUUAGACAAUGGGCGCAAGCCUGAUCCAGCGAUACCGCGUGGGUGAAGAAGGCCUUCGGGUUGUAAAGCCCUUUUGUUGGGAAAGAAAAGCAGCAGGUUAAUACCCCGCUGUUCUGACGGUACCCAAAGAAUAAGCACCGGCUAACUUCGUG
Molecule: ribosomal RNA, 491 nt
Filed under: uncultured bacterium
Lineage: Bacteria
Description: partial 16S ribosomal RNA
Rfam family: Bacterial small subunit ribosomal RNA
Source: RNAcentral